GACGAACGCUGGCGGCGUGCUUAACACAUGCAAGUCGAACGGAAAGGCCCUGCUUUUGUGGGGUGCUCGAGUGGCGAACGGGUGAGUAACACGUGAGUAACCUGCCCUUGACUUUGGGAUAACUUCAGGAAACUGGGGCUAAUACCGGAUAGGAGCUCCUGCUGCAUGGUGGGGGUCGGAAAGUUUCGGCGGUUGGGGAUGGACUCGCGGCUUAUCAGCUUGUUGGUGGGGUAGUGGCUUACCAAGGCUUUGACGGGUAGCCGGCCUGAGAGGGUGACCGGCCACAUUGGGACUGAGAUACGGCCCAGACUCCUACGGGAGGCAGCAGUGGGGAAUAUUGCACAAUGGGCGGAAGCCUGAUGCAGCAACGCCGCGUGCGGGAUGACGGCCUUCGGGUUGUAAACCGCUUUCGCCUGUGACGAAGCGUGAGUGACGGUAAUGGGUAAAGAAGCUCCGGCUAACUACGUG
This 468-nucleotide ribosomal RNA is filed under the name uncultured bacterium. Its description in RNAcentral is "partial 16S ribosomal RNA". It matches the Rfam family "Bacterial small subunit ribosomal RNA", at positions 28 to 507 of the family's 1533-position model. The record is from RNAcentral.